This 70-nucleotide transfer RNA is filed under the name Sphaerodactylus townsendi. RNAcentral describes it as "tRNA-Ala". It matches the Rfam family "tRNA". From Rfam's summary of the family: Transfer RNA (tRNA) molecules are approximately 80 nucleotides in length. Their secondary structure includes four short double-helical elements and three loops (D, anti-codon, and T loops). Further hydrogen bonds mediate the characteristic L-shaped molecular structure. tRNAs have two regions of fundamental functional importance: the anti-codon, which is responsible for specific mRNA codon recognition, and the 3' end, to which the tRNAs corresponding amino acid is attached (by aminoacyl-tRNA synthetases). tRNAs cope with the degeneracy of the genetic code in two manners: having more than one tRNA (with a specific anti-codon) for a particular amino acid; and 'wobble' base-pairing, i.e. permitting non-standard base-pairing at the 3rd anti-codon position. Lineage: Eukaryota; Metazoa; Chordata; Lepidosauria; Squamata; Sphaerodactylidae. The record is from RNAcentral.
GGGCUGGGCUCAGUGGUGGAGCAUCUGGUUGGCACGCAGAAGGUCCCAGGUUCGAUUCCUGGCACCUCCA